Molecule: non-coding RNA, 88 nt
Filed under: Chloroflexota bacterium
Lineage: Bacteria; Bacillati; Chloroflexota
Description: Chloroflexi bacterium c-di-GMP sequence
Rfam family: c-di-GMP-I-GGC riboswitch aptamer
Source: RNAcentral
UCCGAACAGGGCAAACCCGGUGAGAGCCGGGGACGCAAAGCCACGGGUCCACCUCCCGUAGCGGUUGAGGACAGCCGGGCCGCCGGAG